RNAcentral lists this ribosomal RNA (587 nucleotides) under uncultured bacterium. RNAcentral describes it as "bacterial SSU rRNA". It matches the Rfam family "Bacterial small subunit ribosomal RNA", at positions 338 to 916 of the family's 1533-position model. The record is from RNAcentral.
CCUACGGGAGGCAGCAGUGGGGAAUAUUGGACAAUGGGCGCAAGCCUGAUCCAGCCAUACCGCGUGUGUGAAGAAGGCCUUUUGGUUGUAAAGCACUUUAAGCGAGGAGGAGGCUCUUGAGGCUAAUACCCUUGAUGAGUGGACGUUACUCGCAGAAUAAGCACCGGCUAACUCUGUGCCAGCAGCCGCGGUAAUACAGAGGGUGCGAGCGUUAAUCGGAAUUACUGGGCGUAAAGCGCGCGUAGGCGGCUUGUUAAGUCGGAUGUGAAAUCCCCGGGCUCAACCUGGGCACUGCAUUCGAUACUGGCAAGCUAGAGUAUGGGAGAGGAAGGUAGAAUUCCAGGUGUAGCGGUGAAAUGCGUAGAGAUCUGGAGGAAUACCGAUGGCGAAGGCAGCCUUCUGGCCUAAUACUGACGCUGAGGUGCGAAAGCAUGGGGAGCAAACAGGAUUAGAUACCCUGGUAGUCCAUGCCGUAAACGAUGUCAACUAGCCGUUGGGGACCUUGAGUCUUUAGUGGCGCAGCUAACGCGAUAAGUUGACCGCCUGGGGAGUACGGUCGCAAGACUAAAACGUCAAAGGAUUGACGG